CCUACGGGAGGCAGCAGUGGGGAAUAUUGGGCAAUGGGCGCAAGCCUGACCCAGCAACGCCGCGUGAAGGAAGAAGGCUUUCGGGUUGUAAACUUCUUUUCUCAGGGACGAAGCAAGUGACGGUACCUGAGGAAUAAGCCACGGCUAACUACGUGCCAGCAGCCGCGGUAAUACGUAGGUGGCAAGCGUUAUCCGGAUUUACUGGGUGUAAAGGGCGUGUAGGCGGGAAAGCAAGUCAGAUGUGAAAACCAUGGGCUCAACCUGUGGCAUGGAUUUGAAACUGUUUUUCUUGAGUACUGGGGAGGCAGACGGAAUUCCUGGUGUAGCGGUGAAAUGCGUAGAUAUUAGGAGGAACACCAGUGGCGAAGGCGGUCUGCUGGACAGCAACUGACGCUGAGGCGCGAAAGCGUGGGGAGCAAACAGGAUUAGAUACCCGGGUAGUC
Molecule: ribosomal RNA, 443 nt
Filed under: uncultured bacterium
Lineage: Bacteria
Description: partial 16S ribosomal RNA
Rfam family: Bacterial small subunit ribosomal RNA
Source: RNAcentral